RNAcentral lists this ribosomal RNA (602 nucleotides) under uncultured bacterium. RNAcentral describes it as "bacterial SSU rRNA". It matches the Rfam family "Bacterial small subunit ribosomal RNA", at positions 202 to 804 of the family's 1533-position model. The record is from RNAcentral.
UAAAGAUUCAUCGCUGAUAGAUAGGCAUGCGUUCCAUUAGGCAGUUGGCGGGGUAACGGCCCACCAAACCGACGAUGGAUAGGGGUUCUGAGAGGAAGGUCCCCCACAUUGGUACUGAGACACGGACCAAACUCCUACGGGAGGCAGCAGUGAGGAAUAUUGGUCAAUGGGCGUAAGCCUGAACCAGCCAAGUCGCGUGAGGGAUGAAGGUUCUAUGGAUCGUAAACCUCUUUUAUAAGGGAAUAAAGUGUGGGACGCGUCCUAUUUUGUAUGUACCUUAUGAAUAAGGAUCGGCUAACUCCGUGCCAGCAGCCGCGGUGAUACGGAGGAUCCGAGCGUUAUCCGGAUUUAUUGGGUUUAAAGGGUGCGUAGGCGGCCUUUUAAGUCAGCGGUGAAAGUCUGUGGCUCAACCAUAGAAUUGCCGUUGAAACUGGGGGGCUUGAGUAUGUUUGAGGCAGGCGGAAUGCGUGGUGUAGCGGUGAAAUGCUUAGAUAUCACGCAGAACCCCGAUUGCGAAGGCAGCCUGCCAAGCCAUGACUGACGCUGAUGCACGAAAGCGUGGGGAUCAAACAGGAUUAGAUACCCUGGCAGUCCACGCAGUA